Molecule: ribosomal RNA, 489 nt
Filed under: uncultured Alphaproteobacteria bacterium
Lineage: Bacteria; Pseudomonadati; Pseudomonadota; Alphaproteobacteria
Description: bacterial SSU rRNA
Rfam family: Bacterial small subunit ribosomal RNA
Source: RNAcentral
GCAGCGAUGCCGCGUGAGUGAAGAAGGCCCUUGGGUUGUAAAACUCUUUCGUCGGGGAAGAAAAUGACUGUACCCGAAUAAGAAGGUCCGGCUAACUUCGUGCCAGCAGCCGCGGUAAUACGAAGGGACCUAGCGUAGUUCGGAAUUACUGGGCUUAAAGAGUUCGUAGGUGGUUAAAAAAGUUGAUGGUGAAAUCCCAAGGCUCAACCUUGGAACUGCCAUCAAAACUUUUUAGCUAGAGUGUGAUAGAGGAAAGUGGAAUUUCUAGUGUAGAGGUGAAAUUCGUAGAUAUUAGAAAGAACAUCAAAAGCGAAGGCAACUUUCUGGAUCAUUACUGACACUGAGGAACGAAAGCAUGGGUAGCGAAGAGGAUUAGAUACCCUCGUAGUCCAUGCCGUAAACGAUGUGUGCUAGACGUUGGAAACUUAGUUUUCAGUGUCGCAGCGAAAGCAUUAAGCACACCGCCUGGGGAGUACGACCGCAAGGUUA